This 279-nucleotide ribosomal RNA is filed under the name uncultured bacterium. Its description in RNAcentral is "partial 16S ribosomal RNA". It matches the Rfam family "Bacterial small subunit ribosomal RNA", at positions 506 to 784 of the family's 1533-position model. The record is from RNAcentral.
UGCCAGCCGCCGCGGUAAUACGGAGGGGGUUAGCGUUGUUCGGAAUUAUUGGGCGUAAAGCGCGUGUAGGCGGUUCGUUAAGUCUGAUGUGAAAGCCCGGGGCUCAACCCCGGAAUGGCUUCCGAAACUGCCAGUCUGGAGGACAAGAGGGGAGAGUGGAACUUCUGGUGGAGCGGUGAAAUGCGUAGAUAUCAGAAGGAACACCGGUGGCGAAAGCGACUCUCUGGCUUGUUUCUGACGCUGAGGUGCGAAAGCUAGGGUAGCGAACGGGAUUAGAUA